AAGUCGUAACAAGGUUUCCGUAGGUGAACCUGCGGAAGGAUCAUUACUGAGUUAGGGUCCCUGUGGCCCAACCUCCCAACCCUUGUGUUUAACUAUACCACGUUGCUUCGGCGGGCCCGCUCCUCCGGGAGCCGCUGGACCUCUUUACUGAGGCCUGGCCAGUGCCCGUCGGUAGCCCCAAUAUCUUAACUCUUGACUAAUUGUGUUGUCUGAGUACCAAAUUUAAUUAAAAACAAAACUUUCAACAACGGAUCUCUUGGUUCUGGCAUCGAUGAAGAACGCAGCGAAAUGCGAUAAGUAAUGCGAAUUGCAGAAUUUCAGUGAGUCAUCGAAUCUUUGAACGCACAUUGCGCCCUCUGGUAUUCCGGGGGGCAUGCCUGUUCGAGCGUCAUUAUCAACCCUCAAGCCUGGCUUGAUGUUGGACUCCGGCUGUCUUGACGACAAGCCCGGUCCCAAAGACAAUGACGGCGUCUGUUGGACCCUCGGUGCAAUGAGCUCUCACCAGCACGCCCCGAGUUGCAAGGUCUUUCAGCCCGGUCUCCCAGUAUUUUUUUACCAGGUUGACCUCGGAUCAGGUAGGAAUACCCGCUGAACUUAA
Molecule: ribosomal RNA, 598 nt
Filed under: uncultured fungus
Lineage: Eukaryota; Fungi
Description: eukaryotic LSU rRNA
Rfam family: 5.8S ribosomal RNA (bases 237-391)
Source: RNAcentral